This is a long non-coding RNA of Melozone crissalis (California towhee), 1045 nucleotides long. RefSeq lists it as uncharacterized. Lineage: Eukaryota; Metazoa; Chordata; Aves; Passeriformes; Passerellidae. The transcript has 3 exons. The record is from RefSeq and is a predicted model, not a curated record.
GAUCCUGUGAGCCACUGAUAUCCCUCAUGCCCAGGCGGGACAAUUGUGGGACAAGCAGUUGGUUGGAAAUCUCACUGCUGUGUGAUCCUGAACCAUUUUCCGGGGCGUUCUUGGCUUUUCUCGAUCCACCUUGAUGGCAGCACAAAGCCAGGAGGUGGCACUGCCAGGCAGCGAGGCCGGUCCCGCUCUGAACCCGCCUCCAGCCUUUCAGAAUCCGAGGAAACAGGAAAGGCCUGAAGGAUUGCUGAGCUGCUCUCACCAAAUCCUUCAGCCACAAAAUCUCAGCAGUUCCAGAGCAGAGACAACACCUCGUGGAGAGGAUUUAUUUCAUCAUCAACACCUGGCAGUGUCCUGGUCCCCAUCCCAGCCACAAGGUCUGGAAUGAAGGAGAAAGGUGAGCAGAGAGUGGUGGGACAGGGCUUGGAGCGUUCCUGGGAUGUGGGAGAGCUCCAGUGGGGAAAGCUUGGCCAGGUGGGAUGGAGCCUUGCAGGAACCUCAUCAGGAAGGUGUCACCAGCUGCUCUGGGAGGUUCAUCCCAACCCAAACCAUCCCAGGGAUUUAUGGAGCAGGGUGGAGGAGCCUGGUUGCUCACAGCAGUGAAGGUCCCACUGAGUGCCAAGGUCACUGGGAAAACGCCCUGGAAAGCCUCUCCAGGCCAUCACUGGGGUCACAGCUGGAUGGGCUCUUAUCUGCCUGGAAGGGCUUCUUAUCUUCCCAUUGUUUUGGAAAGUUGCUGCUUCAGAAAGAAUUGCAUUCCCCUGGGUUAAAGGACACACUUGGACUGUUGAAAUCCCAGAGCACCUUUGGAGGACGAGUCUGGGGGUCAUAGCAGGAGAGCCAGGAAGCUGAGGAGGAUGAUGAGGGUGAGGUGGCCCUGCAGGGACGAUCCCAAUGACUCCUGAUGAAAAUCCUGGUGAGCCAAGGAAAAGAAAUCAGUCAGAAAGUCCCAUGUGCUAAAAGCCUGUGGCAGUGCUGACAGGCACCCACCUGAGUGUCCUUGGCACCCCUUGGAGUGUCCUUGGCACCCCUUGGAGUGUCCUUGGCA